RNAcentral lists this ribosomal RNA (253 nucleotides) under uncultured bacterium. Its description in RNAcentral is "partial 16S ribosomal RNA". It matches the Rfam family "Bacterial small subunit ribosomal RNA", at positions 524 to 776 of the family's 1533-position model. The record is from RNAcentral.
UACAGAGGUCUCGAGCGUUAGGCGGAAUCACUGGGCUUAAAGCGUGUGUAGGUGGAUGCCUAAGUACCUUGUGAAAUCCCACAGCUUAACUGUGGAACUGCUUGGUAUACUGGGUGUCUUGAGUCACUCAGGGGCGAGCGGAACAAAUGGUGGAGCGGUGAAAUGCGUAGAGAUGUGGAGGAACACCAGUGGCGAAGGCGACUCUUUGGCCUGUAACUGACGCUGAGGCGCGAAAGCUAGGGGAGCAAACAGG